Long non-coding RNA from Gallus gallus (chicken), 740 nucleotides. RefSeq lists it as uncharacterized. NCBI's taxonomy places the organism in Eukaryota, Metazoa, Chordata, Aves, Galliformes, Phasianidae. The transcript is spliced from 3 exons. The record is from RefSeq and is a predicted model, not a curated record.
AGAUGCAAUAUCUGAAGACAGAGCACAAGAGGACGGAUUUGCCAAGAUUGCCAUGAAGCGGUGAAGCCUUCAGGAGUUUGAUCAAGGGAUACCUCAACAUUUUAGAGAGUGGCUCUAUCUCCUCACUUGGGGUCUAGACAACACUGUGAUGCUUGGAGCAGCUAUCAUAUAUGGCAAAAUCAGGCAGUUAAUGGCUUCCAGAACAUCUCCUGGGAAGAUCCUGUCAGCCAGUAGACCUGCGCACAGCAAAGGGUCACAGCUUCCCUAGGGGCAGUACAGUACAAGCAGAGGGGAGGCCUUCAUAGUUGAUGCCAUUCAGAGCUCAGUUCACAGAGUGCUUUAUAUGGAAAGGACAGAAGACAACAUGCUCCUGGAAGCAGGAGCUGAAGCAGCCCAUGCCCUUCUGCUUCCAUACCCAAGAUCCAAGCCAGACAUCCUCCUGUCCUGGGACAAAGCCCUGUUGCCUUUGCAGCACACUCACAGUGGAGGACAGUUUACCUUUGAAUGGCUUAAACAUUCCUACCCAGCAUGAAGGAGAACAGUGGGAACGGACAUCUCUAAAGCAAACAAACCACCAGUUACACCACCUCUUCAAAUGCUGGGGAAAUUAAUUCCUUCCCUCAAAUAUAUUAUGGACGGUAUUCUAGAAACAGAAUAAAAAGCCCCACCUAAAUUAGUUUCCAGUGUGGAAGAAUCUGUAAAUAAACUAAUUAGAAAUUAAUUGGCUAAUACAUAUAGAU